UUGCUGUGAUGAUUACUAAAUUAUUGAAAGUCUUUGUAAAUUCUUGAUGAAACGUCGACUAUCAUGUCGAUCUGAGCGUUACCUGAGCAA
This is a small nucleolar RNA of Pistacia vera, 90 nucleotides long. RefSeq annotates it as small nucleolar RNA snoR128. The record is from RefSeq and is a predicted model, not a curated record. The transcript has a single exon. Lineage: Eukaryota; Viridiplantae; Streptophyta; Magnoliopsida; Sapindales; Anacardiaceae.